CCAGGCUUGCUACUUCGAUGUCGUCUCUUCCUAUCCUGGGUGUGCAGAAGCACCCAAGGGUGGGGUUGUUCGCCCAUUAAAAGGGAUCGUGAGAUGGGUUUAGACCGUCGUGAGACAGGUUUGUUGCUUUGUGGUUGAAGCGUGUAAGAUGCCUGAUCGGAAGGGCCCUUUAGUACGAGAGGAACGAGGGCUCGGAGCCACUAGUUUACCAGUUGUCUGGCAAGGCAAUGCUGGGUAGCCACGCUCCAGUGGAUAAGAGCUGAAAGCAUCUAAGCUCGAAGUCAUCCGAAAGACGAGGCACCUCAGGGGACUCGUAGAAGACGAGUUUGAUAGACAGCGGGUGUAAGCACCGAGGUUCGCCGAGGUGUUCAGCCCAGCUGCACUAACCCCCCGAG
RNAcentral lists this ribosomal RNA (395 nucleotides) under Marine Group II euryarchaeote MED-G35. Its description in RNAcentral is "bacterial LSU rRNA". It matches the Rfam family "Archaeal large subunit ribosomal RNA", at positions 2581 to 2975 of the family's 2987-position model. The record is from RNAcentral. Lineage: Archaea; Methanobacteriati; Thermoplasmatota; Candidatus Poseidoniia; Candidatus Poseidoniales.